CUCCCUCCCUCCCGUCGGAAUUCGCAGCCUUCCCGGUUCUUUCCAUCCCCCAGCGGCCUCCCUCGGGGUAUUACUUUGGGGGGGAAAGACAGAGGCGUCGAGGUGGCGGGCUCCACACUGGCCCGGCCCGCAUUCCCAGCGCCUCCCGCUCCUCGCCGCGCGGCAGCCGACUCCUCUAAAAUACCCGGGCGUCGCCGCGGCCUCGCUCCCGUCCGCGCGCAGAAGCCGGUGGGGCCCCGAGAAACCUUAGGCACGACUUCUUCCCUACUCAAUAUUGAUAUAAAGCCAACAAAGAUUGUGAUGGCAUGGAUAAUGGCACUUCAGGAAGAACCCACUAUACAUGAACAAGGUCUAAGGACUGAACCUACCUGCUUUUACUGAACCAUUAAGAAGUUAGAUUUUUUGCCGGCUAUGGUGGCACAUGCCUGUAAUACCAGCGGUUCAGGAGGCUGAGGCAGGAGGAUCAAAAGUUCAAAGCCAGCUUCAGCAAUUGUGAGGCACUAAGCAAGUCAGUGAGACCCUGUCUCUAAUAAAAUACAAAAUAGGGCUGGGGAUGUGGCUCA
This 563-nucleotide long non-coding RNA is filed under the name Urocitellus parryii (Arctic ground squirrel). Its description in RNAcentral is "lncRNA (ENSUPAG00010005085.1)". Lineage: Eukaryota; Metazoa; Chordata; Mammalia; Rodentia; Sciuridae. The record is from RNAcentral.